AUGUAAUUAACAAAAAAAUUAUCAUGACCGGAAUUCCCACACUCAGGAGUCGUGAUGGCGCCUACUUGUAGAAGCUAGGCAAGCCACAAAUUAUUAACUGCUAACUCCUUUAUUCUUAAAUCAUUUUAUCAAGCAUAACAUCAAGCAUUAAAUAUUUAAAUAACAGCAGAAAUAUAGAAUUAAAGCGGAAGACUUAAAUGAAUAAGCUGAACAAUAAUGCGGAAAUCAACAUAUGCCUCUACCCAAGAACUAGUUUCACAUCACUCACGAACUACUAAGAGUGCUAAAUACAACCGUUUGAAAGAAAUAUAACACGGUUUAUCUAGAAUACAUGAGAUAACUAAAUGAAAUAUAAGAUAGAGGAGACGCCAGGCAUGCGGACACCUGCAAGGCUAUUUUAGUGUCUUGUUGGACUGUAUGCUGGCUCCCCCGCUACUGCUGCUGUCCGAAAUCUUGAUCUGUGCAAAAAAGUACAUAGUGUAGUAUCAGCACAACCGACCCCAUGUGCUGGUAAAUGCGUAGCUUAACCUCAGCAAAGUAGUGACGAGGCUAGGACCAUACUACCAAAUAACCUGUGCAGUUCAAAUAUAUAUGUACAGUGGAAAAGAAAUACAGGAAAUAAUCAGCCAAUAUGGAAGGGGAAAACAUGUUGUGAUGGGAGAUAACAGUUCCGAAUAGAAAAUAUCAAGUCAGGAAAGGAUCAACAAAACUAGAAUAUCAACAAGAAUCAGAAAUCAACAAUUUGCAUGGCAUCACCAUUCGUGCUUUUACUCUCGUCCUCACCCAAACAAUAUUUAUAAUAAACUCUGCACGGCAUCACCCUCUAUGCUUUUACUCUCGUUCUCACCAAUCAAUCAUAUAAUAAUAACAUGCAGAGAAUCACCCUUUGUGCUUUUACUCUCUUUCCUCACCAUAUAACCAAGAAAUACCGGUACGGAAUGGUGCAUCGUAUGGCACGGAAUCACCAUUCGUGCUUUACACUCUUUCCUCACAAUAAACAAUUCACGGCAUCACCCAUCGUUCUUUAAAACUCUUCCUCACCCAAAUAUCAAUCACAAAUAAAGGGGGCAAGGGAGUAAACAAAUAGUAAUAGAAAUCAAGGCAGGGAACACAAUUAAAUAGUUAAAUCCCGGCAAGGGAACACAAUCAAUAAUUCUAGGCAUCCCGGCAAGAGAGAUAAUCAACAAGCAGCAAACAUCCCGGCAAGGGAAUAAUUCAAUAACUCUUUCUCUUUCUUUCACUUUUUACUUCAUAAUUCACUUUACUACUUGAGCCAAUGCUCCAAAGGGUUUCAUUAUCUCAUAUAUUUUUACAAUUUGUAUCAUAACUCGAGCAAAUGUUCCUCGAAGUUCAAAGGUUACAAUUUCUUUUUUCCACAACAUAUAGAAAUCAUCAUCAAGGAAUGAAAGACACAACGAAAUUAGGAUAUUCACAAUGUAAAGACUCACGGUCAUGCUAGACACUAAUGUAUAGAUACUCGUCACCAUGCCUAUCUGUCAUACUCAACAGUUAUCACAAAGCAAAUAGGACUCAACUCCUAAUCCCUAAUAUUAAGGUUAGACCAAACACUUACCUCAAACUUCCACGGCCAAUUCACUUCUCAAUUACCAUUUUCCACUCGAAUUUGGCUCCAAAUCGAUUGUAUCUAUACAAUAAUGACUUCAAUACAUCAAUAAAUGCUAAACAAUGCAAAUCCAAUGCCUAAUUAUAGCUUUUUCAAGCAUUCUUCCCAAAAAUCCAAAAAUCGACCCCGGACCCGCUUGGUCAAAAUACGAGGUUCGGACCAAAAUCAAAUCACAUUCACCCACGAGCCCGAAUAUAUAAUUGUUCAAAUUAGACCCCAAGACGAGGUCUAAAUUAAGAAAAAUCAAAAAGCCCUAACUCUACACCAAAUACCCCAUUUUCUACCUUAAAUCACAUGUUUUAGGCCUAGGAUUUUAAUAGAUAUUAAAGUAAAUGGAGAAAAAUAAGCUAAGAAUUACUAACCCCAAGAGGAUUUUCGUGAAGAAUCGCUUCAAUGGUCGCCUAAGAGCUUGGAAAAGAAGAGGUUUUGUGAAUUUUUGGUUAAUCCCUUAAUGAUACUGUUCUGGAGUUUAAAAAUUUAACCGGGCGAAAAUGCUCUAUGCAAUCGCGAAGAAGGUCAUGCGAUCGCAUAGGGAAAGGCAAAGUUGGCCAUUGAGAUUGCGGACAGGGUCUUGCAAACGAAUAGAAGAAACGGGCUACAUUUCCAGAUUUGGCUUUUAUGCAUGGCAAUCGCGGAGGGGUAAUAUGAUAGCAUAGAACGAAGGGUGGUUACUAUACACGCUCGCGGAGGAAUUUAUGCGAUCGUAUAGAACAAAAUAGGGCACCUGGAAACUUACACUAUGCGAUUGCAGAAAGGCCUAUGCGAUCGCAUAGAACAAAAUAUCAGAAUACCAGAACUGUUGUCUUCUGCAACUUUUCUAAUUCAAAAACCAUUCCGAAACACACCCGAGCCCUCGAGUCUCCUAACCAAACACAUGAACUAACUCAACAAUAUCAUAUUAACUUACCUAUGCAAUCAAAUCGCCAAAAUAACAUAAAAAACAAUGAAUCAAACCUCAAAAUCAAGAGUUAUUCUUCAAACUUCAUUAAGUUUUAAAUUUAGAUCUUCAAGUCCAAAAUACACCAAACGACGUUCGAUUUUAACCAAAUUUUACAGGAAGGACUUAAAAACAUAUAUAAGGCCGGUACUAGGUACCGGAACUAAAAUACGGACCCGAUGCCAUCACUUUCUAAUCAUAUUUCAUUUCCAAUUUCCUUACAUAUUUUCAGAAAAUAAUUUUCUUAAAAAUUCAUUUCUCGGGCUUGGGACCUCGUAAUUUGAUUCCGGGAAUACACCCAUAUCGCAUAUUUUUCUACGGACCCUUUGGAACCGUCAAAUCACGGGUCCGGGUCCGUUUGCCCAAGAUAUUAAUCAAUGUCAAAUUUAUUCAUUUUAACAUCAAAACUUAGUAUUUUUCACAAAAUUUCACAUUUAAGCUUUCCGACUACGCGUCUUGACUACACACAUAAAUUGAGGCAACUCUAAAUGAAAUUUUUAAGGCCUCGGAGGCAUAGAACGGAUAAGAAAAUAGGUAAUAACCCUUUGGGUUGUCACAAAAUACAUUUAAAGAAACUUCUUUACCAUCUCCUCUCUGAUUAUACCGCAUCGCCACCAUUCGCCGCCUUCGGAGAAACAAAUUCUUUUUGGUAAAUGGCAUGCCAUUGGCUUCUGUAUAUGACGAUAAAGAAUAGUAGAAGAAGAAACUCCAUUUUUUUUUUACGAGAAAGAAAGUAAAAAGAUCCAGAUUUGUUAAAAAAAUUUGGCAGCCUCCAUUUUUCUGUUCAAAUUGGUUCUGUUCACGAAGUAAUUUCUAAAUAUGUAAACUUUUUUUUAUAAAAGAACAAAUAUUAAAUAUGUUGACUACCAAAAUAUCACAUUACUUUGAGGAGGGAGAGGGGAGGGGGAGAGGAUUGAACGGGGAAGGAACGAGAUUCGAAGAGGAUUGAAUACCAAAAUUCAGUUUCUUUCUUGGCUUUUGCUAUUCUCUACUAGAUUAAGAUUCGGAGUAGGUGAAAGAGAAGAAUGGGUUUGGUAUAAAAAAU
RNAcentral lists this long non-coding RNA (3606 nucleotides) under Nicotiana benthamiana. RNAcentral's name for it is "long non-coding RNA (NBEN_LNC027795)". The record is from RNAcentral. Lineage: Eukaryota; Viridiplantae; Streptophyta; Magnoliopsida; Solanales; Solanaceae.